GAGUAUGAAGUAAUAAAUUACAGUUAGUUUCGACCUAACAUUAGGUAAAAAUACCCCUACUCU
RNAcentral lists this transfer RNA (63 nucleotides) under Satanas sp. KW-2016. RNAcentral describes it as "tRNA-Arg". The record is from RNAcentral. Lineage: Eukaryota; Metazoa; Arthropoda; Insecta; Diptera; Asilidae.